Ipomoea triloba (trilobed morning glory) is the source of this 523-nucleotide long non-coding RNA. RefSeq lists it as uncharacterized. Lineage: Eukaryota; Viridiplantae; Streptophyta; Magnoliopsida; Solanales; Convolvulaceae. The record is from RefSeq and is a predicted model, not a curated record. The transcript has 2 exons.
UUCAUGCAUCCAUAUCCUACGAAACCUCGGAAAUUGGAAAAUCAUUAGCAAAUUGCAGACAUAUAUAGUUAUGGCCGCCUCUAAUUUCUCUCUAAGGUUCAUACUUGUGGCCGUGUUUGUUUCUGUUAUCUUCAUCUGGAUCAUGGCAGCCAAUCCGUCCGAGGCUGCUCGAGAACUGCUUAAGGCUAACAGCACCGCCGGAAUGUAUUGCCCGGACGACUGUGUUGGGUGUUGCGAGCCACCGCCGCCGGGCUCAUGCUGCCUCAAGUGCGGUUGUUGAAUAUGGGGCUCGACUUUAGUCGUCCCAGUUAAGAUGGUCAGACAGUGAACAAACAGCUGCGGAUUUUGUUGUAAAAACAACUCAUACAUACACUACAAAUAUAUUGUUUGUAUCAUUAUGUUUUUGAGUAAUUUAUUUUUAAGAAUGUAAUGAACUUCUUGAAGUUGUGUCUUUUGCUAGUUGUUUAGUGAAUUAUAUAUGUCUUCUGAUUUGAUUAUUUCAAACUAUUGCAUUGCUACCAUA